AUUGAACGCUGGCGGCAUGCCUUACACAUGCAAGUCGAACGGUAACAGGUCUUCGGAUGCUGACGAGUGGCGAACGGGUGAGUAAUACAUCGGAACGUGCCUAGUAGUGGGGGAUAACUACUCGAAAGAGUGGCUAAUACCGCAUGAGAUCUACGGAUGAAAGCAGGGGAUCGCAAGACCUUGUGCUACUAGAGCGGCCGAUGGCAGAUUAGGUAGUUGGUGGGAUAGAAGCUUACCAAGCCGACGAUCUGUAGCUGGUCUGAGAGGACGAUCAGCCACACUGGGACUGAGACACGGCCCAGACUCCUACGGGAGGCAGCAGUAGGGAAUUUUGGACAAUGGGCGAAAGCCUGAUUCAGCAAUGCCGCGUGCAGGAUGAAGGCCUUCGGGUUGUAAACUGCCUUUGUACGGAACGAAAAGCCCCGGGUUAAUACCCUGGGGUCAUGACGGUACCGUAAGAAUAAGCACCGGCUAACUACGUGCCAGCCGCCGCCGUAA
Molecule: ribosomal RNA, 498 nt
Filed under: uncultured bacterium
Lineage: Bacteria
Description: partial 16S ribosomal RNA
Rfam family: Bacterial small subunit ribosomal RNA
Source: RNAcentral